RNAcentral lists this ribosomal RNA (494 nucleotides) under uncultured bacterium. Its description in RNAcentral is "partial 16S ribosomal RNA". It matches the Rfam family "Bacterial small subunit ribosomal RNA", at positions 28 to 523 of the family's 1533-position model. The record is from RNAcentral.
GACGAACGCUGGCGGCGUGCUUAACACAUGCAAGUCGAGCGGUAAGGCCCCUCCGGGGGCACACGAGCGGCGAACGGGUGAGUAACACGUGAGCAACCUGCCCCUGACUCCGGGAUAAGCGGUGGAAACGCCGUCUAAUACCGGAUACGACCCUCCGGCUCAUGCCGUGGGGGGGGAAAGUUGUUUCGGUUGGGGAUGGGCUCGCGGCCUAUCAGCUUGUUGGGUGGGUAAAGGCUUACCAAGGCGAUACGGGUAGCCGGCCUGAGAGGGCGACCGGCCACACUGGGACUGAGACACGGCCCAGACGCCUGCGGGAGGCAGCAGUGGGGAAUCUUGCGCAAUGGGCGAAAGCCUGACGCAGCGACGCCGCGUGGGGGAUGACGGCCUUCGGGUUGUAAACUCCUUUUACCACUCACGCAGGCCCGGAGUGUUCUUCGGGUUGACGGUAGGUGGGGAAUAAGGACCGGCUAACUACGUGCCAGCCGCCGCGGUAA